GUCAUCUGUGUCCAGGGACCUCCAGGGGUCCUUGAGAAUUCUAGGAGCGCUGGCAGGAAUUUCCAGGAACAGGGUCAUUUUCCACUACACAGUAUAGGAGAACGUAGACUACUAAGAGUAUGUUUUUCAGGGGUGCUGAAGCUUCAAAAACUACAUCUAUGUCAUGAAACAGAAGCUUAAGGGAGGAAUGAAUUAGUGAUGUUCCCAGCCAAUCAUAUCAAGCCAUGCUUCUCCUGAAAAACCAAUAGGAAUCCCUGUCCAGUUCCUCGGUCCAGCCCAUUGAAGAUAAGAUGGAUUAACCUUUUCAUCUCCUAAUGAUGAAGAGAUUAGAAACACAUACGGCGACACAUGGAUGCACUUCAACUGUGACAACCUGAAGUGGCUGCAGUGAAGGUGGGGGCGUGGGAGGACACAGUGGGUAAUUGAGUUCAGGGUGUGUGUCCUUAGAUGUGUGUUACUAUGGAAGAAGGAAGCAGAAUAGAGAAGAGUGUGGUGUUAACCAGCUAAAGCUAUAACAAUUAAAAGAUUAAAUUAAAAGCCAGCUAUUCUAAUCAUCUCUUAAUGGUGUCAGUAACAUUUCUUAGAUGUGCAAAUUCCAGCUCUUUCUUCAAUUAAGACAGUAGAUUUAAAAAUGUCUUUGGACUUUACAUAUCAUCUGUAAAUAUCAACCUAAAUUAGCUGUAAAAAAUUGGCUGUAUUUACAAAUAAAUUCAUGGAGUUUUAGAUAGGACUACCAGACCUACAUCAGCUGAAACCUUUUUUUUCUAAUCAUCAUGCCUUAAAUUUUACUGUGUUAAAGGUAAAGUUAGUCAAUGUUUGUUUUUUUUCCACUACCAGUGGUAAAUACACACU
Long non-coding RNA from Cheilinus undulatus (humphead wrasse), 852 nucleotides. RefSeq lists it as uncharacterized. The record is from RefSeq and is a predicted model, not a curated record. Lineage: Eukaryota; Metazoa; Chordata; Actinopteri; Labriformes; Labridae. The transcript has 3 exons.